RNAcentral lists this ribosomal RNA (1050 nucleotides) under Arthrobacter subterraneus. RNAcentral's name for it is "bacterial SSU rRNA". It matches the Rfam family "Bacterial small subunit ribosomal RNA", at positions 48 to 1107 of the family's 1533-position model. Lineage: Bacteria; Bacillati; Actinomycetota; Actinomycetes; Micrococcales; Micrococcaceae. The record is from RNAcentral.
AUCUUACCAUGCAAGUCGAACGAUGAUCCCCAGCUUGCUGGGGGGAUUAGUGGCGAACGGGUGAGUAACACGUGAGUAACCUGCCCUUGACUCUGGGAUAAGCCUGGGAAACUGGGUCUAAUACUGGAUACGACCUUCUGGCGCAUGCCAUGUGGGUGGAAAGCUUUUGUGGUUUUGGAUGGACUCGCGGCCUAUCAGCUUGUUGGUGGGGUAAUGGCCUACCAAGGCGACGACGGGUAGCCGGCCUGAGAGGGUGGACGGCCACACUGGGACUGAGACACGGCCCAGACUCCUACGGGAGGCAGCAGUGGGGAAUAUUGCACAAUGGGCGCAAGCCUGAUGCAGCGACGCCGCGUGAGGGAUGAAGGCCUUCGGGUUGUAAACCUCUUUCAGUAGGGAAGAAGCGAAAGUGACGGUACCUGCAGAAGAAGCGCCGGCUAACUACGUGCCAGCAGCCGCGGUAAUACGUAGGGCGCAAGCGUUAUCCGGAAUUAUUGGGCGUAAAGAGCUCGUAGGCGGUUUGUCGCGUCUGCCGUGAAAGUCCGGGGCUUAACUCCGGAUCUGCGGUGGGUACGGGCAGACUUGAGUGAUGUAGGGGAGACUGGAAUUCCUGGUGUAGCGGUGAAAUGCGCAGAUAUCAGGAGGAACACCGAUGGCGAAGGCAGGUCUCUGGGCAUUAACUGACGCUGAGGAGCGAAAGCAUGGGGAGCGAACAGGAUUAGAUACCCUGGUAGUCCAUGCCGUAAACGUUGGGCACUAGGUGUGGGGGACAUUCCACGUUUUCCGCGCCGUAGCUAACGCAUUAAGUGCCCCGCCUGGGGAGUACGGCCGCAAGGCUAAAACUCAAAGGAAUUGACGGGGGCCCGCACAAGCGGCGGAGCAUGCGGAUUAAUUCGAUGCAACGCGAAGAACCUUACCAAGGCUUGACAUGAACCGGAACGGCGCAGAGAUGUGCCGGCCACUUGUGGCCGGUUUACAGGUGGUGCAUGGUUGUCGUCAGCUCGUGUCGUGAGAUGUUGGGUUAAGUCCCCGCAACGAGCGCAACCCUCG